UACGUAGGGUGCAAGCGUUUAAUCGGAAUUACUGGGCGUAAAGCGUGCGCAGGCGGUUAUGUAAGACAGUUGUGAAAUCCCCGGGCUCAACCUGGGAAUUGCAUCUGUGACUGCAUAGCUAGAGUACGGUAGAGGGGGAUGGAAUCCGCGUGUAGCAGUGAAAUGCGUAGAUAUGCGGAGGAACACCGAUGGCGAAGGCAAUCCCCUGGACCUGUACUGACGCUCAUGCACGAAAGCGUGGGGAGCAAACAGG
Molecule: ribosomal RNA, 253 nt
Filed under: uncultured bacterium
Lineage: Bacteria
Description: partial 16S ribosomal RNA
Rfam family: Bacterial small subunit ribosomal RNA
Source: RNAcentral